AAUAAACCCUGAGUUUCCGUAUCCAACAUUUAACCGUCCGUCUUAUUUGAAAAAAAAUAUGAAAAAAAUUAAAAAGAUAAAUCACGCAUAAAGUAUUAAUCAUGUUUUAUCAUCUAACAACAAUGAAAAUACUAAUUAUAAAAAAAAUUCAUAUAAAACGGACAAUGAAACAUUGGACACUGAAACACAGGAUUUGUCUUUUU
Oryza sativa Indica Group (long-grained rice) is the source of this 203-nucleotide microRNA precursor. It matches the Rfam family "MIR812 microRNA precursor family". NCBI's taxonomy places the organism in Eukaryota, Viridiplantae, Streptophyta, Magnoliopsida, Poales, Poaceae. The record is from Rfam.